UAAGUCAGCCACGAAUAGGCUAUCCCAACUAACGGCGGGAAAGACUCCACGGAGGGUGUAAGACCCGUGUGGGCGCGUGUUAAAGCUGUGUGGGCUCGGCCUCUAUUCCCUGAGAGUCGCGUUGCUUGAGCAUGCAGCGCUAAGCAGGUCGUAAACUCGAUCUAAGGCUAAAUAUGUCCACAGAACCGAUAGCGAACAAGUACCGUGAGGGAAAGUUGAAAAGCACUCUGGAGAGAGAGUCAAAAGACCGUGAAACCGCUCAGAGUAUAAGCCCAUGGCAGCUUGGAAGGCAUAUCGCUAGCGGGGCAUCGGUCUCCCUUCGCGGGGAGCUGGUGUUACCUUGCUUCUGUUGUGGCUCGUUAUGGUAGGGGGGUCAAGUCCACAUCCCGCCGUCGUGUGGGGGGUUCUCGGGUGUGUUGUGGUUUCUUUGUUGGCUUCGGCUGGCAGAGGGGCUCUUCGUGCUCGGUUCCUCUUUAGACACGGACGUUCAGACUCAGAGGCAAGACGCGAUAAACAGCCCACCACGGCACGUUGUGAGGUCACCCACAGGCUCGACUUUCGAUCGUGAGCCUUGACGCCGAGCAAGCACAAUGCGUGUCGCUGAGGUUCCUAACCAGGCAUAGGUGCCAGGAUCGUGGAACGACACGUGCUCAACAGUCAGGUUCGGGCGGAGACAGAGUUCUGGUACGAUCCUCUUGCGACGAGCCGGCUUCUGGCCAACAUCCGAUGCUCAGGUCUCCCGCAUGUGCCGCGGGAGAUCGCCCUUGACGGUCUGGA
RNAcentral lists this ribosomal RNA (777 nucleotides) under Gammarus balcanicus. RNAcentral describes it as "eukaryotic LSU rRNA". It matches the Rfam family "Eukaryotic large subunit ribosomal RNA", at positions 157 to 605 of the family's 3401-position model. Lineage: Eukaryota; Metazoa; Arthropoda; Malacostraca; Amphipoda; Gammaridae. The record is from RNAcentral. RNAcentral also lists the same sequence under 1 other name.